AUUUGGAAUGAAUUAUGAAAGCCAACAAUGGGGAUCAUGCUUUAGUGAUGUGUAGCAGAAAGGGUGGAUCCAGAUUUUUCGAUAAGAGGGCUAAAAGUUAAGAAAAUCAGUACAAGAAAUAAAUCGUCGAAAGGGCACUAAAAUCCUCUCAUAUAUACCUCAUUUGUUGUGUAGCUUGCCUGCGAAGCAUGGUUCUAGUGGUAUCUUUUAUUGUGCCCCUUCUGAUUGCAAAUACUACAUUUCAAUCUCUUCUUGCCGUCACCUCUCCUAUCAAUCUUCUUCAUCUUCUCUUUGGACAAUACAACUUCCUUAACCCCUCUUCGACGCUUUAUCUGCUUCCUUCCUCUUUUUUUGGUUACCGAAGUUGGAGGCUUUAUUGGGUUGAAGCCACUUGAAGGCCACAUUUUUGGUCCAUUUAUAGGGUAUAUGCAAUUCCCGUAAGCUUUUAAGUACGUUGUAACUUUAUAGCACUCAUCCACAAACUAGAAAGGAUCCUUACCCCACUCGCGGACGUUGGCUAUUGCAUGUGGACAAGGCAUACUAGUUAAAUCCCACUUUCUACAUGAGCAUGUACUUCUUUGUAAAGAAAGGAAUCACGUGUACAAAUUUCAAGUUUCUUUAAAAAUUUUGGACAUAUAUUGCUAGAACUCCUUGCCAUCAUCUGCUGCUUCUAACGACACUAUCCCAUUCUUCAUAUCGAGUUCAAUAUUCUGGAUAACAUUUUCCUCAAAGAGAAUGUCGUCUUCUUCGCUAAGGCUAUAAUCAGAAUCAUUGAAGG
Molecule: long non-coding RNA, 778 nt
Filed under: Olea europaea subsp. europaea
Lineage: Eukaryota; Viridiplantae; Streptophyta; Magnoliopsida; Lamiales; Oleaceae
Source: RNAcentral